RNAcentral lists this long non-coding RNA (1183 nucleotides) under Nicotiana benthamiana. RNAcentral describes it as "long non-coding RNA (NBEN_LNC019920)". The record is from RNAcentral. Lineage: Eukaryota; Viridiplantae; Streptophyta; Magnoliopsida; Solanales; Solanaceae.
AUUAACAAUCUCCUCAAUGAUCGAUCCACUCGUUGGGGUCAAAACAUGAAAAAAAACUCAACAAUAUGCAGAAUACUUAAGCAUGAUCGUAAUGAACUAAAAAUAAAUUUUAAUAUUAAUAAUAGUGUCUAAAUAUCUUAAAUCAAGAAAUCACCACUCAUUUACAGCUCAUAUAAUUCAAACCAAUCUUAAAAUGGCUUUCCCAAAGCUUUAUUCAACAUUAAUAACAAUAAAAGAACAGAAGAAAAGGAGAGACAAACCUAAAUGCUACAAGUUUUAAUUAAUUCUGGAGGUCUAAUACAAUGGAAUACGGCAACAAAUUUAAGCAGAAGCUGCAACUAUAACUCGAACUGAAACUAGACUUAAUUUCUCGGCACGAACGAAACCACAAACGAACCUCUAUUUUCAAGCAACGAGCAGCUCGAACGACCUCGACUCCACGGAAAACCUCAAUCAGAAUCCACAGUUGAAAACCAAAACCAAAAGAAGAAACUAAAAUAUUUUUGGAAAAUUUUCUGAUUUUCAAAAUGAAACAAGGACUCGAACAAAAAAGAAACUCGAACUAUUUUCGUACUUUUGUUUUUUCUGGAAUGCUAAUUAACAGAAGAAUCUGAGAAGAAAGCCAAAACCCAAGAACCCUAGUUUUUUUUCCCCGAAGAUUUCCUCCCAAUCUCUCUCUGUUUUUUUCGAAAAUUCUCUCCAAAAGCCCCCAAAUUUUGUCUAAAAACCCCAAUAUAUAUAUCCCUAUAGAAUCUUCUUCUCCUCUUCUCCAUGUAUCACCCAAAACCAUGUGGAGCCCAAAAAUCAAAAAUCUGAAAAUCCUUUUCAAAAAUAAAAAAAAAUGGAGAUUUUUGGACGAAAAUUUCAUCCAAUGAUUCCCAUUAUUCCCAAGUUUAUUCAAGAGUUUGGAUUUGUGCUUAAACAAAAGAAAUAAAAGAAGAUAUCCACACGAAUCGGAUUAAAAUAAUGAGAUUCGUUGGGAUUUUGCUACGUGGAAGACAGAGAAGAGAGGAGAGGGGGGCCAUGAGGGGACCAAUGGGUUAAUUCGUCAGGUUGGCGAGUUUUCCGGCGGGUUUGGGCGCGGCAGAAAUGGAGAUGGGGUUGGGGCGGUUGUUUGUUUGAUUGGGUCUUUAGGGUUAGGGUUAGUGAAUAUUUGGUUUUUAUAUGAUGGUGAGGAUAUAUG